ACAGAAUGACCCCGGGGGCCAUUAGCUAGUUGGUGAGGUAACGGUUCACCAAGGCGACGAUGGGUAGCCGACCUGAGAGGGUGAUCGGCCACACUGGGACUGAGACACGGCCCAGAUUCCUACGGGAGGCAGCAGUAGGGAAUCUUCCGCAAUGGACGAAAGUCUGACGGAGCAACGCCGCGUGAGUGAUGAAGGUUUUCGGAUCGUAAAGCUCUGUUGUUAGGGAAGAACAAGUGCAAGAGUAACUGCUUGCACCUUGACGGUACCUAACCAGAAAGCCACGGCUAACUACGUGCCAGCAGCCGCGGUAAUACGUAGGUGGCAAGCGUUGUCCGGAAUUAUUGGGCGUAAAGGGCUCGCAGGCGGUUUCUUAAGUCUGAUGUGAAAGCCCCCGGCUCAACCGGGGAGGGUCAUUGGAAACUGGGAAACUUGAGUGCAGAAGAGGAGAGUGGAAUUCCACGUGUAGCGGUGAAAUGCGUAGAGAUGUGGAGGAACACCAGUGGCGAAGGCGACUCUCUGGUCUGUAACUGACGCUGAGGAGCGAAAGCGUGGGGAGCGAACAGGAUUAGAUACCCUGGUAGUCCACGCCGUAAACGAUGAGUGCUAAGUGUUAGGGGGUUUCCGCCCCUUAGUGCUGCAGCUAACGCAUUAAGCACUCCGCCUGGGGAGUACGGUCGCAAGACUGAAACUCAAAGGAAUUGACGGGGGCCCGCACAAGCGGUGGAGCAUGUGGUUUAAUUCGAAGCAACGCGAAGAACCUUACCAGGUCUUGACAUCCUCUGACAACCCUAGAGAUAGGGCUUUCCCUUCGGGGACAGAGUGACAGGUGGUGCAUGGUUGUCGUCAGCUCGUGUCGUGAGAUGUUGGGUUAAGUCCCGCAACGAGCGCAACCCUUGAUCUUAGUUGCCAGCAUUCAGUUGGGCACUCUAAGGUGACUGCCGGUGACAAACCGGAGGAAGGUGGGGAUGACGUCAAAUCAUCAUGCCCCUUAUGACCUGGGCUACACACGUGCUACAAUGGACAGAACAAAGGGCUGCGAGACCGCAAGGUUUAGCCAAUCCCACAAAUCUGUUCUCAGUUCGGAUCGCAGUCUGCAACUCGACUGCGUGAAGCUGGAAUCGCUAGUAAUCGCGGAUCAGCAUGCCGCGGUGAAUACGUUCCCGGGCCUUGUACACACCGCCCGUCACACCACGAGAGUUUGCAACACCCGAAGUCGGUGAGGUAACCUUU
This 1230-nucleotide ribosomal RNA is filed under the name Bacillus stratosphericus. RNAcentral's name for it is "bacterial SSU rRNA". It matches the Rfam family "Bacterial small subunit ribosomal RNA", at positions 220 to 1443 of the family's 1533-position model. The record is from RNAcentral. Lineage: Bacteria; Bacillati; Bacillota; Bacilli; Caryophanales; Bacillaceae.